CUCUAAAAUUUCGAACCUAGACCUCCAGACCUAGCCUCCUUCUCCAAGCUGACCUGCAUCGACUCCCGAUCUCCUUCUCCAAGCUGACCUGCGUCGACUCCCGACCUCAUUCUCCAACCUAAGCCUACUGGAGCCGCCUCCAACCUGACCCCGAGUCCCCGACCUCGCUCUCUGACCCCGAGUUCCCCUGCCUCGCUCUGACCCCGAGUCCCCGAUCUAGUUUUCCAGACCUCGAGCUUGAGCUCCGAUCUGACCUCGAGCUUAUUAGCCGACCUGAGCUUGUCAUUCUCCAACAGGAAGAUCGGGAGUUGAAGGUUUUCAAGAAGGAAGAAAGGAUAGGAGCAGGGUAUUUUGCAUGUUUUCGUUCUUCUAAAGUCUGCUAAACCCAUUGAUGGUGCUGCAAGAAAGAGGUACAAACCAAGACCCAUGAGGGCUGAAAGAGGCAAUGAGUUGCAUAAUGGGAAGUUGAUUGUGCAGAAUUGCGGAUUUCGGAGUUGGCCUGAUGGGAUUCAGUCAAUGGCUCUCUCGUUAUUUCCUUUAUCAAUAAUGUUGGGGUUGAUUGAUUUUGAUUACAGUUUGUAAUUUGAUGUUUCAACAGUCUGUUGUGGGGUUGCUUAUAAAUUUAACGCAUAGACAUCUACUUACAGUUUUAGAGAAAUUUGUUCUGCAAUUUUAAUUGGAUAGUGAGAAAUGUGAUUGGGGAAGUUCAGUUUGUUGGAUUGGGGGUGUGAGAUUAUUGUUUGAUUCGUUAAAUUAGAGGUUGUUGAAAAUUAUAUUCGGACAUCUAUUUGCCGUUAUGCAGAUUAUAUUUAUUCUCUGUUUUAUAACAAUUUUGGUGUUUAAUGGUUCUGUUUCUGAUUCUGCCAAUUAGUUUUUUGUUUUUUUCUGUGGAGGUUUUAGUUUUUAGAUUAUAUAUAGUACUUGAUUUCUUGGUUAUUGAUGUUUUGAGUUUAGCUAGAUUAUAAAGCAUGAAAUUGAUGUUUUGAUACUUUUUAUCUUUCAGAGUUAAUCUUUAUGUCAAUGAAAUACUCCAAAGCUUACCAACAUUUAGGAAUCUCAAUCAUUUGAACUUGGACCUCUAUUCAUAUUGAACUAAACGUGAAGAUGUUGAUCUGGUGCCUGAUUCCAAAUUCUAACAAGACUGAUAAGGCUUCAAUGCUGGAUGAAGCAGUUGAGUAUUUGAAGCAGCUCCAGCUUCAAGUACAGGUCAGAUAGUUUUCAUUUUUUGGGAUUAUAUAAUUCUAUUAGCAUUACAAGCAAUUGCUUUUAAUACGUCUUCAAAGAUAAGUCGUGUUGAGUAGUAUGGAUUUUUUAGCUAGGCUCUUGAUUUUCUGUUGUGUAAGUUAAAGUUUUGAGUUGUGGAUUUUGGGUUUUCAGAGGGAAGAAAGAAAGAAACAGAAGAAGGGGGAGAAAGGAAGAAACAGAAGAAGGGGGAGACGGGAAGGACAGAAGAGGCAGGGAAAUCCAAAAGACGAGAAGAACUGCUCUACUUCACAGAUUCAAGGAAUCCAAAGAAAAAGGAAACUCCACAUAUCACUGUUCAUGAUUAGAAGUGGCUACUUAGCAUAGUUGCAACACAUAUCCUACGAAAGUAAGCUUCUGAGGACUAUCUUUGUUGAAAAAUUACCGGUGAAGGUGAAGAAGAAGGUCUUGAUCAGGGAGUUCAUUAAGUUUGAAGAGGUGGAGCCUGUGAGGAUUUGAUCUGAGCCGAUAGAGGAUAAAAGUAGCGGAAACUUAUAAAGAAACUCCAUAAGAAAGCUAACAGGUCAACGCUAGCAGAUCAAAGCGGCAACUUCAAUUUUGUCUGGAGCCUUAGGACUAUCACAGUGGGACUGAACCCAAUCUGGAUCAAUUUUGAGUGAUAUUGGUGGGAUUUCAGGUAUUUGUAGUGGGCGGUAAAGGAUCGGAAAGGGUAUACCCAACAACAACUUGAUGAGGUCCGCAUUGAAGUAGCCGACUACUUACAGACUCUGUUGUAGGUUCUGACCAGUUUCUUGAUUUUGAGUUAGUUUUAACUAACUUUUUUGUAGCAAUUAUGAACAAACAAGAAUACUAAUUGCUAGGCUAGCCUUGUAGUAUAUAGGUGCAUAUAUGAAUUGGGGUUUUAUUUUGCCCAUUUUGUAAACUGUUAAGGAUGAUGAAUGUCGGAUAUAAUACCCCAAUUUGCAAUUUAUAAUCACAGUUCUAUUUUGUGGACA
Molecule: RNA transcript, 2198 nt
Organism: Rosa chinensis
Lineage: Eukaryota; Viridiplantae; Streptophyta; Magnoliopsida; Rosales; Rosaceae
Exons: 10
Source: RefSeq, a predicted model, not a curated record